CAUCUUCCUAACCGAAAACUUAAGACCCAAAACAGCUCCACUUGAUGAAACCACCUCUAAGUAAACAUAUUUUUGCCGACAACCAUGGAGCAACAGGACAAACGAAUGGUGCUGGAGAGGACAAGCAACGUGAUGACUAGGAGAGUCUUAAGACAAGAAGAAGCUCUGAUAAUGCUCAAAGAUUGACUCAACUUGUUAAAUAGAGAACCAAAUCUAG
Molecule: unclassified non-coding RNA, 217 nt
Filed under: Hevea brasiliensis (rubber tree)
Lineage: Eukaryota; Viridiplantae; Streptophyta; Magnoliopsida; Malpighiales; Euphorbiaceae
Source: RNAcentral